UAGUUAGAAGCGUAGUUAUAUGUAAAUUCGUCAGCGAUGGUGGAAAAUACAGUGCAAUAAGGGUAUAGUCACCGUGUAAGUAAGAAAUUUAAUAAUCUUUAAUACCUAAUAAGAAAUAAUUUAGCUCUACGAUCACAUAUAAUGUGAAGUUGUCUGAAAAUGUAGUUUGAAACGUAAAUGUUGUGUGGGUCAUAAAUACGGUAACUGUCUGUAGCGAGCAAAUCUCAGACUGCAAAGUAUUAAUUAGCACAGGGGUGGGUAAUUUUAUCCAGUAAGAGCAGAAUGACACUACAGCGGCCAGAUACGAAUCCAUGCCUUUGUUCUCGGGAAAUUACGUCUGUAAUGUUUGGUUAUUACACACACCUGUGUAUUCCAGUCAGCCAGUAUAACAAUAUUCUGUAAGCGACAACGUCGGAAUAAAAGUUAUUCUGUUUAUCACUCCAAGGAUUAUUUUUCCGCGAUUGCUAAUUUUCAUUUUAUUGGCGUUAUGUGACUGACAGAAAUUGAUGUCACAAAUAAAUAUACGUGUGUGUGUGUGAUUAUUAUAUAUUUUACACAGUUCGCGAGUGUUUGUACGCGACCGGCUGUGAAAGUGCGUUGUUAGUUGUUGCGCACGACUUGCCGUGAGUCUGACCAAUCAGCGCUGGAACCAUUGUGGUUUAAAUUACGGUAGGUUAGCCGUGAGUCUGACCAAUCAGCGCUGGAACCACUGUAGUUCCAACUACAUAAGGCCUAACUAACUAACGUGGUUCGAACAACUGUGGUACGACGGUUUCGAGAAACAGUCGUUGGUCGGAUGUUGGUUAGUUUGAACUACCAUAGUACGAUGCAUCGUUAAUGCUAACUUCCGUCGUUGUUCGAGAAACGCACCCAAGAGGUAGUACUGUAUUCAAGGACCAAGUAGAGGAGGAUGUACUGCAGAUACUUGAAUAGAGAGUCAUCCUGGACAUCUGUGAAGGGGAGUCACUGGAGCUGAUAACCACAUUUGAAAUCAGCAUUUGGAAUGCAUGAGAGUAUUAUCCUGAGAGUAUUAUCCUGAGAGUAUUAUCCUGAGAGUAUUAUCCUGAGAGUAUUAUCCUGAGAGUAUUAUCCUGAGAGUAUUAUCCUUCGAUUCCCAACAAUUACGGUGGUGCCUCAGACCGCUCUGACAGACACUCCAGAAGAGGUCGGCCCACCCCCAGGCAUAGUUUACACUCUCACUAUCCACAUGGCCCAGACCAGUAAAACGGUGUAAUCCAGUGCUUCUCAAUCUGGUCCUCGGGGUCCCCCAGAAAGUCCAUGUUUUUGCUCCCUCCCUCCCACAGAAGCAAGAUUCUGCUCUGUGCCUCAAACACUUGACCUAAUAUUGGUCUUUCAGCUAACAUGUCAGAGUGUCUGAUGUCCUGGAUGCAGACGCCCGCCCUCUAGAGCUGGUGGAUGGAGACAAAGCCCACUGUGCCCUCUUUCUGAGGGCGGAAUAUGAGCAGAAGAAUAGAGGAGAUUACCUCAAGAAAGCCAGCCAAUAGUGUCGAAAGCACUGGCUUCCACAGUAUUAGGAACUCUACAUACAUUCCACUUUGUUUAGACUGCGAUUUAAGCAUAUGGGUACCAAUUGGACCAGGGUGUUUAUAUAAUGUUAUAUACGGUUACAGAUAAUAUGACAAAAGGGCUGGCAUUUGUCCUCUUGCCUCUGAUAACCACACAACCAACUUCCUGGUUUUGAGAAAUAUAUUUCUGUCAUUGCAAGAGAUAAUAUUCCUAUUUGUCUUUUCGUUUGUUGGGGAGCUGCAGUGGAGUUUAAGCUCCCGGUGAUACAGCUGGCGCAAAUCGCUCAGAUCUUGACAACUGGAAAAAAAAGACAGCAGCCCCUUCGCAGUGACUCGGAACAACUGCAAGUGCCUGUUGGGACUGUGGCAAAACACUUUUCUUUAUGGUACCAAUCAAUCAUAGGUACAGCAAAGCACUGCUUGAGCAGAAGCAGAACCUGCUGUCCUCGCUUUCUAAUUGUUUAAUAAAGACCCCACAUAGACCGCCGGGAUUUAUGGGCCGUACAAGCGACCUGAGGGUGCUGGUAGAGUGAUAGAGCUUCUUCCAUGUGUUUUGAAAUGCACAUGCACAGCAUUUUUCAACUGGCAGUGAUCCCAUUUAGUGCCACAUGAACAAAUGUACGAUCCACUAUAGAUACCUUAAUAAUGCAUUAUAAUGGUCUUAGAAUUAAGGAUGCUUUGUACUGCAUUCUGAAUGUAUUUAUAGUGCAUUGUAGAUGAGAGCUUCAUAGUGCAUUCAUAAUGCAUAAUAAACAUGGCUAUAAUGUGUUAUGCCUUUUUAUAAAUUGUUAUAGCCGUGUUCAUAACACUUUAUGAAUGUGUUAUAAUGCAUUUUGAAGGUAUCUAUAAUGCAUUAUUUAUGACUGCUUUAAGUAAAGUGUUACCAAAGAUGUUACCACAGUUCACCCAAGAGCUUGGUGAGCUCAUUAUACUACUGAAAAAAUAACCCUUCUGUGGAACGAAAUGUCUGAGGCAGACAAAUCCCUUAAAAAAAAGAUAUUGAAGAGUGUUCAUAGCUAUUCAUCCCUAAUGAAGAAAUACACGAUAAUUUCACAAGUAGUGCAGAAAGUGACUGGAGCCAAAAUCCAGGCUCAUUUUUGCUGUUCUUGAAGACAAUAAGCUGGAGGCAGAGUUUGCUAUUACUUGGAAUGCAACUAUCAAUGCUGAACCUACAUAAUUCGGAGAUGCGAUUCAUUACUGAGAGAGUAAUCAAGCAAAUGAAAUAGCGAGUUACCGGCUGGGCCAUCAGCAGAUUUCUGAAUAAGCUUGGUCUGCAUUUAGUUAUACAGAAGUGAAUUUUGGCCUGAAGGUUCACUGAAGGCAACAAAACGGAGGUUCGUACUUGUUAAAGGACAGCAAUAUAUGUAUCUCAGGAAAAAAAAAGCUGGAAAUGACUGCUUCAUCUGCAUGCAGUUUCAGGUCAAGUGCAUGUUUAAAGUGGAUUAUGGAACUGUGUGUCAGAGUGAUGCUUUGGAAGAAGAGGGAUUUUCUCACACAUCCGAAAAGAACCUGAGAGCUACAGUUCUGGGAAUCAGUAGAUUAUUCCAGAACAAAAGGAUCUGCUCUUGGAGGGUAGCUUGUCGGAGCUAUCUGCUGCACCCUGAGAGCCUCGCCCAUAAGCAGCAGCAGCACGAGAUCAGGCAAAGCAGUGGUUAGACAGGUGGACUAAUGAAAAACAGUGAAACGUUGAUGUCCUCUGAAAGCCUGUGAAAGUCUGGAAGCUGGGGAGGUACCUGUGCCCUGGGGGGCCUUCAAAUUGCUGAUCUUUCAGAUGUGGGACACACUGCAUGUCACACUCUGGUGACCAUUUUAAGGGUCUAGUCUUGUUUAUCUGCACAGUGUCCCGAUCCUGCAGCACUCAAUAGCCAAUCCUGCAGGUGCUAUGGCACUUUCUUACCCAUCAGGAGCAUAAUCCCAGAGGCCCAACAUGUACCGUAAUGACUUGAAACCUACUGCACAUUAGAAAUUAUCGUUACCUAGCAACUUGGGUCAAUAAUGAAUUUUCUAAUAAAAACCAAGGAACAUAGUUAUUGCUGCCAAAGAUGGUUUGGUUUCUAAAUAGCUAUAUAAUGUAAUUGAUAUUUUUUAUGAGAUUGUGUCAGCAAAAAUGAAUUUUACGAUUAAUCAGUGUGAAUUUUACGAUGGGUCCUGACAUGAUCCUGACCUGGUUAAGCAGUUAGAAGAAGGAUAGAUGGAUAGACAAAGAGUCGUAACAGGAAAUAUUAUUUUGUAUCAUUAUAAAGUAUCAGCUAAUACAUACCAGUUUAAAGAUUAAAACAGCAUUUUGAGGCCUGCAAACUCUUUAAUACAAGUAUGAAGAGAAUGUGGCAAUAAGCAGGCUGAAAGGCUUUGUAGCGUUUUACAUAUUGGUAUUAAAAGUCCUGCAUAAAAUGCAAAGAUGCAAUAAACUCAAUGGAAAAAGAAGCAUCAGUUUUGAGAUUUAAGUGCAUAAAAAUGUGUGUCUAACAGAAAAACUGUGAGACCUGCUUAUCAGUAGAAGCGAGAUCCUGAGAGAAUUCCACUCAAACCGCAAACUAAUGAUUAAAAGGCAGCACUAGCAGAAUAUUGGGAUUUAUGAGUCUGUUCUUUAAUUUAAAGCUCAGGAGUUUUGCUUCGCGAGUGUAAAGGCCAU
This is a long non-coding RNA of Paramormyrops kingsleyae, 4158 nucleotides long. RefSeq lists it as uncharacterized. The record is from RefSeq and is a predicted model, not a curated record. Lineage: Eukaryota; Metazoa; Chordata; Actinopteri; Osteoglossiformes; Mormyridae.